Diceros bicornis minor is the source of this 1152-nucleotide long non-coding RNA. RefSeq lists it as uncharacterized. The record is from RefSeq and is a predicted model, not a curated record. The transcript is spliced from 3 exons. Lineage: Eukaryota; Metazoa; Chordata; Mammalia; Perissodactyla; Rhinocerotidae.
GUUCAUUGGACAUACUUGAUCUAUAUUUAGAGUUCAUACAAUUUACAGUUGAACACCUAGAUUCACAUAUUCAAGUAGUUGCAGAUGUACUUAAUUUUUUUUUCAAUAAUUGAAACCAGUAUCAGUUUUUAAAUUAAAAUUAAUUAAAACCCAGUUCCUCUGUCACACUAGCCACAUGUUCGAUAGCCACAUGUGGCUGGGGGCUCCUGUAUUGUACAGCACAGGCCUGCCUGUUUCUAGCUCGAGAGCCAGUCUCAGUCAUAAAAAUAUCUUCUGGAAGAGUGCUGGGUUCUUUACGAGGUGUCAAAGGGAAAGGAGAAAAUGAUAGCUUGAUAAAUCUAGGCUCUCUUCUGUGACUCAAAUACACAUUCUGCCCCUUUGGAUGAAAUCCUGAAUUUUAAAGUUCAGUGACUGUACCCAAAGGAAAUGUCAUGUAUGGAAAAAUGUUUCCAUUGUGUCUUGGAGAAGUCACUGGCUCAGUUCCACAGCUCAUUUUGUACUAAACUUGCACAAUUUUUAAAAUUGUUUUAACAAGUGCAGAAUACAAAUUGUACUUCUUGGGAAAUAGUAGAAUAUUAUGCUUUCAGGCUACUGAAAUGACCUGGACUUUCGAAGGUGCAUCUCUCUGGUUUUCUUUCAGCAGAGGGCCAGCCUUGGGGAGACAUGAGCUCUUGCCACUGAGUAAGUUAUUCUCGUGCUUGCCCCUGUGUUUCUUGAGACUCAUCUUCCUACCUCUACUCUGUGUAUUUUCUGCAGUUGGUUCUUAUGUUGUAAAUGUGAGCAACCCGUUAAAUAAUGCUGAGGAAUACAACGAGAUUCUCAUUAUAGAUGCUUACAUCUAGGUUUUCAUCAAUUGGAGUAAUAACAUCUGCCACAUUUUGAGUCUUUGCAAGAGGCCAGGAGUGAAGUCCAGUGUAUUAGAUGAGAACAUUGAAGUCCAAACAGAUGAAGUCCAUUGCCCAAGGUCACACAAGAGCCACAUAACCCUGUUUCAAUGCAACAGCAAGUCAGUCAAGGGCCAGAGCCUGUUGGGCCUUUGGAAACAAACGAAGUCAGAUCAGCUGGUUGAAUGAAAGGGGAAAGAGGUAAUUCUAAAAGCCUGGUAACGCGUUUACAUUGAACUUCAGAACACUUCUUACACUAUGUAUUUAA